Molecule: transfer RNA, 74 nt
Filed under: bacterium
Lineage: Bacteria
Description: tRNA-Thr
Rfam family: tRNA
About the family: Transfer RNA (tRNA) molecules are approximately 80 nucleotides in length. Their secondary structure includes four short double-helical elements and three loops (D, anti-codon, and T loops).
Source: RNAcentral
GCCGUUGUAGCUCAGACGGUUAGAGCACGUCAUUGGUAAUGACGAGGUCGUCGGUUCAACUCCGACCAACGGCU